RNAcentral lists this ribosomal RNA (439 nucleotides) under uncultured bacterium. RNAcentral's name for it is "bacterial SSU rRNA". It matches the Rfam family "Bacterial small subunit ribosomal RNA", at positions 954 to 1392 of the family's 1533-position model. The record is from RNAcentral.
GCAUAACGCGAAGAACCUUACCAAGGCUUGACAUAUACGAGAACGCUGCAGAAAUGUAGAACUCUUUGGACACUCGUAAACAGGUGGUGCAUGGUUGUCGUCAGCUCGUGUCGUGAGAUGUUGGGUUAAGUCCCGCAACGAGCGCAACCCUCGUUCUAUGUUGCCAGCACGUAAUGGUGGGAACUCAUGGGAUACUGCCGGGGUCAACUCGGAGGAAGGUGGGGAUGACGUCAAAUCAUCAUGCCCCUUAUGUCUUGGGCUUCACGCAUGCUACAAUGGCCGGUACAAAGGGCUGCAAUACCGUAAGGUGGAGCGAAUCCCAAAAAGCCGGUCCCAGUUCGGAUUGAGGUCUGCAACUCGACCUCAUGAAGUCGGAGUCGCUAGUAAUCGCAGAUCAGCAACGCUGCGGUGAAUACGUUCCCGGGUCUUGUACACACCG